AAAUUGAAGAGUUUGAUCAUGGCUCAGAUUGAACGCUGGCGGCAGGCCUAACACAUGCAAGUCGAACGGUAACAGGAAGCAGCUUGCUGCUUCGCUGACGAGUGGCGGACGGGUGAGUAAUGUCUGGGAAACUGCCUGAUGGAGGGGGAUAACUACUGGAAACGGUGGCUAAUACCGCAUAACGUCGCAAGACCAAAGAGGGGGACCUUCGGGCCUCUUGCCAUCAGAUGUGCCCAGAUGGGAUUAGCUUGUUGGUGAGGUAACGGCUCACCAAGGCGACGAUCCCUAGCUGGUCUGAGAGGAUGACCAGCCACACUGGAACUGAGACACGGUCCAGACUCCUACGGGAGGCAGCAGUGGGGAAUAUUGCACAAUGGGCGCAAGCCUGAUGCAGCCAUGCCGCGUGUAUGAAGAAGGCCUUCGGGUUGUAAAGUACUUUCAGCGGGGAGGAAGGUGUUGCGGUUAAUAACCGCAGCAAUUGACGUUACCCGCAGAAGAAGCACCGGCUAACUCCGUGCCAGCAGCCGCGGUAAUACGGAGGGUGCAAGCGUUAAUCGGAAUUACUGGGCGUAAAGCGCACGCAGGCGGUCUGUCAAGUCGGAUGUGAAAUCCCCGGGCUCAACCUGGGAACUGCAUUCGAAACUGGCAGGCUUGAGUCUUGUAGAGGGGGGUAGAAUUCCAGGUGUAGCGGUGAAAUGCGUAGAGAUCUGGAGGAAUACCGGUGGCGAAGGCGGCCCCCUGGACAAAGACUGACGCUCAGGUGCGAAAGCGUGGGGAGCAAACAGGAUUAGAUACCCUGGUAGUCCACGCCGUAAACGAUGUCUACUUGGAGGUUGUGCCCUUGAGGCGUGGCUUCCGGAGCUAACGCGUUAAGUAGACCGCCUGGGGAGUACGGCCGCAAGGUUAAAACUCAAAUGAAUUGACGGGGGCCCGCACAAGCGGUGGAGCAUGUGGUUUAAUUCGAUGCAACGCGAAGAACCUUACCUGGUCUUGACAUCCACAGAACUUUCCAGAGAUGGACUGGUGCCUUCGGGAACUGUGAGACAGGUGCUGCAUGGCUGUCGUCAGCUCGUGUUGUGAAAUGUUGGGUUAAGUCCCGCAACGAGCGCAACCCUUAUCCUUUGUUGCCAGCGAUUAGGUCGGGAACUCAAAGGAGACUGCCAGUGAUAAACUGGAGGAAGGUGGGGAUGACGUCAAGUCAUCAUGGCCCUUACGACCAGGGCUACACACGUGCUACAAUGGCGCAUACAAAGAGAAGCGACCUCGCGAGAGCAAGCGGACCUCAUAAAGUGCGUCGUAGUCCGGAUUGGAGUCUGCAACUCGACUCCAUGAAGUCGGAAUCGCUAGUAAUCGUGGAUCAGAAUGCCACGGUGAAUACGUUCCCGGGCCUUGUACACACCGCCCGUCACACCAUGGGAGUGGGUUGCAAAAGAAGUAGGUAGCUUAACCUUCGGGAGGGCGCUUACCACUUUGUGAUUCAUGACUGGGGUGAAGUCGUAACAAGGUAACCGUAGGGGAACCUGCGGUUGGAUCACCUCCUUA
Molecule: ribosomal RNA, 1542 nt
Filed under: Salmonella enterica
Lineage: Bacteria; Pseudomonadati; Pseudomonadota; Gammaproteobacteria; Enterobacterales; Enterobacteriaceae
Also listed under: 1 other name
Description: bacterial SSU rRNA
Rfam family: Bacterial small subunit ribosomal RNA
Source: RNAcentral